Molecule: long non-coding RNA, 2078 nt
Organism: Corvus hawaiiensis (hawaiian crow)
Lineage: Eukaryota; Metazoa; Chordata; Aves; Passeriformes; Corvidae
Exons: 2
Source: RefSeq, a predicted model, not a curated record
CCCAGCGGCCCCAAUGCUGGCUGCCGAGGCCGUGAUGCUGCAAAGAGAAGGCAGCUGUGCAAUUCAGACCAGCGUGUUUGCAUGGCAAACAUGAAGACAACUGUCCCACAGGAACUGGGAUGAGGAAUGGAGGAAGAAGAACAGGCUGAAGAAAGGAAACCACGGAAAGGAAGUCGAUGGGCUUGUGACAGACUCUGGGAGGCAGGGACUGCAUUUGGGAAAGGCUCUGGAUGCAGCACGGUGGCCCCAGCCCUGGGCACAGACCGUGGGGCUGGGACAAGGAGCAGGGUGUUCUCCCUGAGGCAGCUCUCUCUCCCUUAGCUGGCUGCAGAGCAGAGGGAGGAGAAGCCUGACAGAAACAGAGCUGGAGACCCAGGUCCAGGUCAUGAAGAGUUGCAGAAGCAAGAGUUGCAGCGGUGGGCACUGGGGAAGGGAGGCACAGUCUAGGUGGUUUUAUUGGGAUUAUGGGGAGGAGCAACAGGCAGGCCAGAAAAACCCUUUGCCUGGUCAAAUGUUCUCCAGGAAAAUGUUUGAAUUUGUGUGUCUUCUGGAAGGGGUGGUAGUUUAUAGUGUGAAGGGUUUUUUCAUUGUUAUAAGGAAAGUAUUUCAAUGAAAAUAGAAUAGAUAAAUAUAAUCUAAAUUGAUUAAAGUCUUUUCAAAAUAGGCAAGAUUUUUCUGUGGAUGAACUUGGGAUACACUGUAGUUGAUGUUAGAUUGUCAGUAAAGUGUUCAGAAGAGCUUUAACCCCAUGCAGUUUAUAAAGCACCUACAGUCCUAGUUUGAAUGCAUGGAAAGAAAACUGCAGCAAUUUAAUGAAGUGUGCAUGCACACACAAAAACAUUGCUGGUUUGCUCUGGGAAAACCCUGGGAGAGGGUGAGUGGAAGAGCACCACGAGCUGCCCAGGUCUGUCACCCAGGGCAGGGGCAAGCGUCUGCUUCCUCCUAAACCAGGAGCAUUCUCAUUUCAAAUAGUGCUGGAGUGUAAUUUUCCUUUGAGUCACACCUGUCCUCCCAGAGCUCACCUGGCCGGACACAGCCAUGUCUCUCUUGCUAAACCAGAUCCCUGCUCUGUGGUAUCUGCAGGUUCCAGCCACGUUUUCCUACCUGGAGGAUGUAGCUAAGGCGAUCAGCAAGGCUUGCAGUAUUCCCUGAAUGAAAGCAAAGGGGUUUUUCUUGGUGAUGAGCACAAAAAGCAGAGGUAAGAGGAGGAUUCCGUGGAAGGCAAGCCCUGACACUACUGUAAUGACAUACAGUCCCAGCUUCUGUCCUAUAAUGGAUGGAUCUUCCAUCUCCAAGAUCUUUCCAGCUAUGAGAAAUACAAUGCCAAAGGGAAAGUACCUGCAAAGAAUAAGCAUAAAAAAUUAUGAGGAUGCAGCAAUCACUGGAGCACUGCAGGACAGACAUUGCAGUGUUUGGUACUGUGUGGUACAGUCGUACGAAAGCAAAUUCAGUCCUCACAACACACACUUGCAGACGUGCAACCGGCAUUGCCAUCAGAUAGCAGGAAAGAAAAUCAAUCAAUCAAUGAAUCAAUCAAAACCAGAUUUACCAAACGGCCAUCGAGACAAUUUUCAUCACUGCUUCGUUCAGACACUGGCACACGUUAACCAGCGGGGCUCCUCGCUCGCCCAUUUUUCCCAGGAGAAGUCCUGCAACCAAGCACAGCAGGUUGCAUUACUUGGGAGCACCACGGGAGCAGCACCUGUCAAGCCGAGUGUCUUGAGGGUCUGGUGGCCACAGAAUGGGGCUCACCGGGCAAAACCUGAUUUCGUACAGGUUGCCAUGUGCUCUUAGGAGUCACGGCCAUUCUUUGCUCCAAGCAAAUACAAGCACCUGGCUUGUGUUCCUGGCAUUUUCUCACAAAGCCCCACCAGACCCAAAUCCAGGAUUUGGACUCUUCCUUGCACAGAAAACAGAUGAACUUCACUGCUGCUCAAUGCUGGAAGAGUCAUUUCCUGGGAUGGAUAAACUGUGGAUUAGCUGGAUUAAGUGGAUAUCUGGAUUGCUAUAAUUGCUGGAUUGCUUUGGUAAUACAAGAAUAAGGAAUUCUGGAAAUAAAAAUGGAAUUCUUUUAAGGA